Molecule: ribosomal RNA, 301 nt
Filed under: uncultured bacterium
Lineage: Bacteria
Description: partial 16S ribosomal RNA
Rfam family: Bacterial small subunit ribosomal RNA
Source: RNAcentral
CAGCCGCCGCGGUAAUACGUAGGGUGCGAGCGUUAAUCGGAAUUACUGGGCGUAAAGCGUGCGCAGGCGGUUGUGUAAGACAGGUGUGAAAUCCCCGGGCUUAACCUGGGGACUGCGCUUGUGACUGCACAGCUAGAGUAUGGCAGAGGGGGGUGGAAUUCCACGUGUAGCAGUGAAAUGCGUAGAGAUGUGGAGGAACACCGAUGGCGAAGGCAGCCCCCUGGGCCAAUACUGACGCUCAUGCACGAAAGCGUGGGGAGCAAACAGGAUUAGAUACCCGUGUAGUCCCUGUCUCUUAUAC